ACCUUCCUACGGGAGGCAGCAGUGGGGAAUAUUGCACAAUGGGGGGAACCCUGAUGCAGCAAUGCCGCGUGGGUGAAGAAGCAGUCCGGUGCGUAAAUCCCUGUCAGCAGGGAAGAAAAUGCCAGUACCUGGACAAGAAGCCCCGGCUAACUACGUGCCAGCAGCCGCGGUAAUACGGAGGAUGCGAGCGUUAUCCGGAUUUAUUGGGUUUAAAGGGUGCGCAGGCGGAAUGUCAAGUCAGCGGUAAAAUUUCGGGGCUCAACCCCGGCGUGCCGUUGAAA
Molecule: ribosomal RNA, 281 nt
Filed under: uncultured bacterium
Lineage: Bacteria
Description: partial 16S ribosomal RNA
Rfam family: Bacterial small subunit ribosomal RNA
Source: RNAcentral